AGCUCCAAUAGCGUAUAUUAAAGUUGUUGUGGUUAAAAAGCUCGUAGUUGGAUUUCGGCGGGCAUUGGUUGGUUUGAAUUGUUUCAACACUGACUAUUUUGCCCGUGUGUUUUGCCAGAAUUUAACGGGUGCUCUUCGUUGAGUGACUCGGAGCGCCGUCAGGUUUACUUUGAAAAAAUUAGAGUGCUCAAAGCAGGCUUUUCACGCUUGAAUAUUCGUGCAUGGAAUAAUGGAAUAGGAACUCGUUUCUAUUUUGUUGGUUUUCGGAAAUCGAGUUAAUGAUUAACAGGGACAAUUGGGGGCAUUAGUAUUCAGACGACAGAGGUGAAAUUCUUGGACCGUCUGAAGACUGACUACUGCGAAAGCAUUUGCCAAGAGUGUUUUCA
This 386-nucleotide ribosomal RNA is filed under the name marine copepod environmental sample. RNAcentral describes it as "SSU rRNA". It matches the Rfam family "Eukaryotic small subunit ribosomal RNA", at positions 587 to 972 of the family's 1831-position model. The record is from RNAcentral. Lineage: Eukaryota; Metazoa; Arthropoda; Copepoda.